Molecule: long non-coding RNA, 357 nt
Filed under: Homo sapiens (human)
Lineage: Eukaryota; Metazoa; Chordata; Mammalia; Primates; Hominidae
Description: long non-coding RNA NONHSAT066220.2
Source: RNAcentral
UGUCCUACCUGGCAGGCUGUGGCCUCCAGAGCUGCCCCAUGCUUGUGGCCAAAGGGUACCCAGACAUUGGCUGGAACCCCUGUGGUGGAGAGCGCUACCUGGACUUCCUGCGCUUUGCUGUCUUCGUCAACGCGAGAGCGUGGAGGAGAACGCCAAUGUGGUGGUGCGGCUGCUCAUCCGGAAGCCUGAGUGCUUCGGACCCGCCCUGCGGGGUGAGGGUGGCUCAGGGCUGCUGGCUGCCAUCGAAGAGGCCAUCCGCAUCUCCGAGGACCCUGCGAGGGAUGGCCCAGGCAUCCGCAGGGACCGGCGGCGCGAGCAUUUGGUGAGGAACCGCCUGAAGAAAACCGGGUGCACCUG